GACGAACGCUGGCGGCGUGCUUAACACAUGCAAGUCGAACGGUGAAGCGCCUUCCUUUUUGGUGGGUGUGGAUGAGUGGCGAACGGGUGAGUAACACGUGAGUAACCUGCCCCCUUCUUCUGGAUAACCGCAUGAAAGUGUUGCUAAUACGGGAUAUUCUGGAUCUGUCGCAUGAUGGGUCUGGGAAAGAUAUUGUUUCGGUGGGGGAUGGGCUCGCGGCCUAUCAGCUUGGUGGUGGGGUGAUGGCCUACCAAGGCGGUGACGGGUAGCCGGCCUGAGAGGGUGGACCGUCACACUGGGACUGAGACACGGCCCCGACUGCGACGCGGCGCAGGGGGGGGGACUACUGCACACGGGGGGCGAGCCUGAUGCAGCGGCGCCGCGGGUGAGAUGGAGCCCUUCGUGUUGUGCACCUCUUUCGCCAGUGAAGCAGGCCUGCCUCGUGUGUGGGUGGGUUGACGGUAGCUGGAUAAGAAGCGCCGGCUAACUACGUG
RNAcentral lists this ribosomal RNA (494 nucleotides) under uncultured bacterium. Its description in RNAcentral is "partial 16S ribosomal RNA". It matches the Rfam family "Bacterial small subunit ribosomal RNA", at positions 28 to 507 of the family's 1533-position model. The record is from RNAcentral.